This 14985-nucleotide long non-coding RNA is filed under the name Phaseolus vulgaris (common bean). Its description in RNAcentral is "long non-coding RNA (PVUL_LNC000381)". The record is from RNAcentral. Lineage: Eukaryota; Viridiplantae; Streptophyta; Magnoliopsida; Fabales; Fabaceae.
AAUUUUAGAUCAUUAUAAAGAAUUUAGAAAAGAGUGAUGGGAAAAUUUGAAAUGAAAAUUCUUGGAAUUAUAAUCAUGGUCAUGUUUCUAUUAAGUUUUACACAAGCCGAAUUAGAUAGCAAAAUUGAUGGAGUUUUAUGCAAAGUCAAGUGUGCAUUCAAAUGUGAACCUCAACAACCAUUUCUUAAAUUAUAUUCAAAAUGUAUGGAAGAUUGUCAAUCACAUUGCAGUCAACUAUCCUCUGAUCCUAUUUCUAAUUGUAUUACUAGUUGUCGCUUAAUGAAGUCCAUUGACAUCAACAUCGGUAUGUACAUUCUUAAAAUAUCUACUUAUUUUCAGGGUUUUAUAUUUUUUCUCUAUAUUUGAUUUCAUUAAUUAUUCUUUUUAUGAUUUUUAUAAUUGACUUUACUUGGUUAUGAUUUGACCAUUGAUUUUACUUGCUUCUCAGGUUCUCAUGAUCUUGUGAAGAACGUGAUGAAUACUUGCAUGCAAGAGUGCAAAAAAAAGUUAUAAUUUGUAACAUGAGUGAGAAAUUGUUAGAAGAAAUGAUAUUUCUACACAAUUGCGAGAAAUAAAUCUUGAUCAAUAAAUAUUAUUUGUUAACUAUUAUCAAGAAAAAUUCUUAGAUCUUCAUUUAAUUUUUAUUUUAAAACGUUAUCAUCCAAUUCUAUUAAGAAAAACAAUUAGAACAUGUUCUCCAAAGAAAGAAAGUGAUAUGUAAAUUGUGAGUCGAAGUAUUAAGAUGAUAUAAUGUGAAUCAUGAAUAUAAAUAUAUAUAUAUAUAUAAUUUGAGUAAUUUUAAAAAUAUAAAAUUAAUUUAUACUUUUUAAAUACACAAAAUAUAAAUUGAAUUAAUGAAUUUUGUUUUAUUUGUAUGGUUGAAUGAGUUGUUAUAGUUAAUGAUUAUACUUAAAGGAAUAAAAAUUACUUUAAACAUGGUUUCUAUUUUCACAAUAAACUUUUUAAAUAUUGUCAUGGUAUAGGAGUAAAGAAUCCAUGUAAUAGAGUAGUCCAUCUUUAAUUUCAAUUAAAUUGUAGAUGAUUCGGUUUAUUCAAGUUUAGAAAUUAGUUGGUAUUGAGUUAGUAGACGAAACAAUACUCAUUAGAUAAUCUCAUGAUUACGUGCCUACAUGUUUUGAUGAUAACAAACACCAUAAGGUGUAUUAUGAUAUGAAAAGCUUAUUCAUGUGUAUCACAAGAUUAGACAAAAAUAAAAGAGAAAGUGAGCGAGACUCACUAGACGAUACAAUAUGAGAAAAGGUUGUUAGACAAAAACUGUGUAAAUGUUGUGUAGACGAUCUAAUCUUCAUGUUCACUCUUGAAAUGAAUAUAGUCAAAGUGAAUAAUAAAAAGGAUAAAAGACCAUAAGAUGAAAUAACAUCAUAUAAGACGAAGAACUCGUCAAACAAAGAUAUAUAUCAAACGAAGUUCGUUGAGAGAAUGUGUUAGGCGAAGAUUAGACGAUGAAGCUUUUUAACGUUCUCUCCCUUUUUGGGCCUCUGUUUUCUUUGCUUACUCAAGCCCUUUAGGCUAUUAAAUUUUUGUCUGAUGCAGGUAUGUUGAGUACCAAACCAGCUAGAACAUCCAUGGUCAAGAAAAAAUGAGAGAUUAUUUUAUCAAAACACUCUAGUCCAUGAUAAUACUGCAUACCGAAGAGUCAUUGGAAGACUGUUGUAUUUGGUCAAUACUAGAUCGGAUAUAAGUUUUCCUAUGCAAUUCCUUAGCCAAUUUGUUGAAGCAACUUCAGAGUUGCACCAUCAAGUUGCCUAGAGAAUCCUAUCAAAAUCACUGGAUAAUGCAUUUAUUGAUUUAAUGCAAAAACUUAGACAUUUAUUGAUUUUAAUUUUUUAUAAGCUAUGACCCAAGCCUAAUUUGAAAAAUUAGAAUUUAAUAAUAUAUUUUGGUGUGACGAGAUUAAUAGAAUUAUUUAUUCUCAAUUUUGGGUUAUUUUUAGGAAUUUAAGGAGAGAUGAAGAAAGAGAUAUAUUAUGAAUAAAGUGUUAGAAUGAAUGGUCUGAACAAGAGGGGAGGUGAAUUGUUUGACAAAAGAUUUUCGCAAAGAUUGGCUAAGAAUGAAGUUUUAUCUACAAUCACAGAAGGAGCAAUCAGGGAAGCCAAACAAUCAAAGCAAUUACAACUGUUUGCAGAAAAACUAUCGAUUGAAAUCUCGUUUAAACUGGUUGUUUAUAGUGAGGAUGAAGGAUAUAUAGGCUUGUGAAUCAUGGAAUCCAUUCAAACCCUAAGUUUCUUUUAUUAGUUUUUUUUUCUUUACUUUUUUUUUCUUUUAUUUUUAAAGAUAUUUAUUUUUUCUUUGUUUAAAAUAUUUAUUGUUUUUCUUUUAUUUCUAAAAAUUAAAUAUUUUUUCUUUAUUUUAAAUUUUUUGUUUUUCUUUUAUUUUUAAAAAUUAGUUUUUUUUCCUUAUUUUUAAAUUUUAUGUUUUUCUCUUAUUUGGCAUUUCUAAAUUAUAGAAAAUAUUAUUUUCGAAUAAGAUUAAUGUACUUGAAUCAGAUUUUGAAUUGUUUCUAUAUCAAAUAUUUUUUGAAAUAUAAUUAAUGAGAUAUUAAUUACACUUCAAUGAUUUGGAUCAAUGUUAACUUGGAAAGUUUUUUUAAUACAGAAUUAACUCUGGAAUAAUUGAAUAUAAAAAGUUUAUAUAAUGAGAAGUAUUACCGGACAAAAUCAUUAUUAGACUUAAUUAGACUUAAUUACAGGAAUAUAAUCACUAUUAAUGAGUCUAUAAUUAGACUUAAUUAUAGGAAUAUAAUCACUGUUAAUGGGUGUCUAUAAUUAGUCUUAAUUACAGAUGUUAUGUUAAGAAAAGAAUUUGUACGGUUGUAAUGUAUCAUUGCUAUAGAUGAAAGACAGAUUAAAUAAAACAUAAAAUAUUCUUUCCUGGUAUUAGAGCACAAAACUCUGAUACCCGACAAACACAAAGCAAAGGCAACGGUGCACAACCAUGGCAGCUGCACCAGAAAAGAAUAAUGCCAACAAAGCAGAGCACGAAGGAGGAGGUGCUAAGAAGACCUACUCGCCAUAUGAUCUCAACGCGAGUGACAAUCCCGGAAACAUAAUCACGCAAGUCCAAUUGUGCGGAGAAAAUUACGACGAAUGGGCAAGAGCAGUAAAGAUCUCGCUUCGUGCCCGGAGAAAAUGGGGCUUCAUUGAUGGAACACAUAUCCAACCAGAGGAUGAGGCACCCGACCUUGAAGAUUGGUGGACCGUGCAGUCCAUGAUUGUCUCUUGGAUUCUAAACACCAUUGAACCAAGCUUACGAUCCACAGUAGCAUAUGCUGAGACUGCACAUAACUUGUGGGAAGACAUUAAAGAAAGAUUCUCGGUCGUGAAUGGACCUAGAAUUCAACAACUAAGGUCGGACUUGUCAAGAUGCAAGCAGGAGGGAAUGGUGGUGGCAACUUACUUUGGAAAAUUGAAGGUCCUUUGGGAUGAGCUUGCUAACAGUGACAAAAUUCCAUCUUGUACGUGUGGUGGAUGCAAGUGUGGGAUUGGUGCUCAGUUGGAAAAACGAAGGGAGGAGGAGAAGGUUCAUCAACUCCUUAUGGGGUUGGAUGACGCAAGCUACGGGACAGUAAGAUCAAACAUUCUGGCCUCAGACCCAUUGCCGUCUCUGAACCGCGUAUAUGCUAUGUUGGUACAAGAAGAAAGAGUGAGAAUGAUGGCCAAAUCAACGGAAGAAAGGGGGUUGGUCGUGGGUCUCGCGAUGCAGGCCAACUACAAAGAAAAAAGGCGUGGAGAUAUGGUAGAAAAAUUAAUGACGUGCAGUCAUUGCGGUAAAAAUGGUCACGACAUGAAGGGAUGCUUCCAAUUGAUCGGAUAUCCCGAAUGGUGGGGUGACAGACCAAAAAGUGAAGGCAAAUGGAACGGCAGGGGACGCCAAGGGAUGCGAAACAAAGGUAACCCGACACGUGCAAAUGUGGCACACGCUAGUGGAAGCAACAGUCAAGCCAACAAUGACGACAAUAAACUUGAGAUGGCAGGUCUGACCAAUGAACAAUGGAAGGUACUGGUUGAUAUGAUCAGCAAACAAAAAUCAAAUGAAUCAGAGAAAAUGACUGAUAAGAGCAUUUGAGAUUUGUGGAUUAUUGACAGUGGGGCAUCAAACCAUAUGACCGGGUCACUGGAAAAUUUGAGUGAAAAGGAAACUAUACAAGGGUGCCCCGUGGGGUUACCCGAUGGUGAANNNNNNNNNNNNNNNNNNNNNNNNNNNNNNNNNNNNNNNNNNNNNNNNNNNNNNNNNNNNNNNNNNNNNNNNNNNNNNNNNNNNNNNNNNNNNNNNNNNNNNNNNNNNNNNNNNNNNNNNNNNNNNNNNNNNNNNNNNNNNNNNNNNNNNNNNNNNNNNNNNNNNNNNNNNNNNNNNNNNNNNNNNNNNNNNNNNNNNNNNNNNNNNNNNNNNNNNNNNNNNNNNNNNNNNNNNNNNNNNNNNNNNNNNNNNNNNNNNNNNNNNNNNNNNNNNNNNNNNNNNNNNNNNNNNNNNNNNNNNNNNNNNNNNNNNNNNNNNNNNNNNNNNNNNNNNNNNNNNAGUGGGAAAUGUACUCGUGAUGAGUUGAAUAAAGUUUGUGAAGUUUGUGAAAAAUCGAAACAAACGAGAGAUAAGUUUUUCUUAAGUGCGCAUCAAGCUUUGAAUAUUUUUUAUUUAAUUCAUUGUGACUUAUGGGGUCCUUAUAAAACUCCUUCAUCCUGUGGUGCUUCAUAUUUUUUUACAAUUGUGGAUGAUUGUUCACGGGCAGUUUGGAUCUAUUUGUUAAAAGAAAAAACAGAGGUAUCAGUGACUUUGAAAAAAAAUUUCACACUCGUUGAGAGGCAAUACAACAAAUGUGUUAAAAUGGUUUGCUCUGACAAUGGAACCGAAUUCAUGUGUCUAAAACAAUAUUUCAUUCAACAAGGUAUCCUUCACCAAACUUCAUGUGUCGGGACCCCGCAACAAAAUGGACGCGUCGAACGCAAGCAUCGGCAUAUUCUGAAUGUUGCUCGGUCAUUACGGUUUCAAGGCAAUCUUCCCAUUAAAUUUUGGGGGGAAUGCGUUUUGACUGCAGGCUACUUAAUCAAUCUCACACCAUCCUCCAUUCUAAAAGGAAAAACCCCUUAUGAAGUGAUCCAUGGAUGUGUACCCAGUUACGCGCACUUACGAGUAUUUGGUUCAUUAUGUUAUGCUCAUAAUCAAAAUAGACAGCGGGAUAAAUUUGAUAGUCGUAGCCGAAAAUGUGUGUUUGUCGGGUAUCCAUAUGGCCAAAAAGGAUGGAAAUUAUUUGAUUUGGAAACAGAAACUUUCUUUGUCUCUCGUGAUGUACAUUUUUUCGAAAAUAAAUUUCCAUAUUUUGAAGCCAAAAAGAUGGACACUGCACCACCAUUGCAAAACCCAAUUGUUGCCAACUCUUUAGAAACUGGAAUGGACCCACAUUUUCUUCAUGAAGUUGCCUCCUCAAACCUAGAUGAAUGCAUCGUCAACCAACCCAUUGCAUCUCUCAUCCUAGCCAAGGAGGAUGCUACCCUCACAGAUGACUUCGACCACACUAUCAACGACUCUGAUCCGUGCAUAGAAGCCUCGACGCUACCCGCGGAUCCACUACCGCGUCCGACGGAGACGGCGCCGUCGGUUUCUUCACCACCGCUGACGGUCGCGGUUCCCCUUGGGCGAGGGCAUCGCGCGAAGCUGCCUUCUGUACGGUUACGCGAUUUUGUCGCAGCCACCACGAUACCGUCAAGCCCCUCUGUUCCGUCACCUCCUUCAACAGAAUCCUCAGGUGUUUCGUAUCCUAUACAUGAUUUUGUGAAUUGUGAUUCCUUUUCUAAACAUCAUCAAAGUUNNNNNNNNNNNNNNNNNNNNNNNNNNNNNNNNNNNNNNNNNNNNNNNNNNNNNNNNNNNNNNNNNNNNNNNNNNNNNNNNNNNNNNNNNNNNNNNNNNNNNNNNNNNNNNNNNNNNNNNNNNNNNNNNNNNNNNNNNNNNNNNNNNNNNNNNCUUGGGUGUAAAUGGAUCUACAAAAUCAAAUACAACUCGGAUGGAACAAUUGAAAGAUUCAAGGCUCGAUUGGUAAUUCUUGGCAAUCAUCAAGUGGAGGGUUUGGAUUACAACGAGACGUUUUCUCCUGUCGUAAAGACGGUAACCAUUCGCACAACUCUAGCAGUAGCAGCCGCAAAAGAUUGGGAGCUUCAUCAGAUGGACGUUCACAAUGCGUUUCUCCAUGGUGAUCUUGAUGAUGAGGUUUAUAUGAAACUCCCUCCUGACUUCCAAGAAUCUCAACCAGGGGCAGUGUGCAAGCUUCAAAAGUCUCUAUAUGGCCUCCGACAGGCCCCCAGGUGUUGGUUUGCUAAACUAUCUUCUUCUCUCACUCGUUACGGCUUCCAACAAUCCCCGAAGGAUCAUUCCCUGUUUACUCUCAAUAAUAAUGACAUACAGUUGGUUGUGCUAGUCUAUGUUGAUGAUCUUGUGAUUGCAGGGAAUAAUGGUACUGCCAUCCAAUGUUUUAAAGGCUACUUAAAUCAAUGCUUUCAUAUGAAAGAUUUAGGCCGCCUCAAGUACUUCCUGGGGUUGAAGUUGUUCGCUCCCCCAACGGAAUCUUCCUUUGUCAAAGGAAAUAUGCCUUAGAUAUCAUUACUGAAGUCGGAUUGUUGGGUGUGAAGCCCGCCACUACACCAUGUGAAGAAAAUCACAAAUUGAGCUCCGCAACUGGUUCUUUUCUUUCUGACCCGGCUACUUAUCGUAGACUUGUUGGGAGGUUAAUUUAUCUGUGUUUCACUCGACCUGACCUUGCCUACACAAGCUUUAUCUCAAUUUAUGCAAAAUCCACGCUCCGAGCAUUGGCAAGCUGCUCUUCGUGUUGUUCGAUAUUUAAAGGGGCAUCCUAGACAAGGAAUACUCCUACCUCGAGAGAACAACUUACAACUCUUUGGGUGGUGUGAUUCUGAUUGGGCAAGUUGUCCACUGACACGGAAAUCUCUCACCGGAUGGUUUAUUCAACNNNNNNNNNNNNNNNNNNNNNNNNNNNNNNNNNNNNNNNNNNNNNNNNNNNNNNNNNNNNNNNNNNNNNNNNNNNNNNNNNNNNNNNNNNNNNNNNNNNNNNNNNNNNNNNNNNNNNNNNNNNNNNNNNNNNNNNNNNNNNNNNNNNNNNNNNNNNNNNNNNNNNNUUGUGAUAGUCAAGCAGCACUUCACAUUGCUAAAAACCCGGUCUUCCACGAACGCACCAAACACGUUGAAGUUGACUGCCACCUUGUUCGAGAUGAAAUCAUUCACAAGCGCCUUCUUCCAUCCUAUGUGCCCACACAUACACAACUAGCUGACCUUUUCACCAAAGCUCUCGGUGCUAAAAAGUUUGGAGCCAUCUUGGUCAAGUUGGGCAUUCAAGACUUACAUGCUCCAACUUGAGGGGAGGUAUUACCGGACAAAAUCAUUAUUAGACUUAAUUAGACUUAAUUACAGGAAUAUAAUCACUAUUAAUGAGUCUAUAAUUAGACUUAAUUAUAGGAAUAUAAUCACUGUUAAUGGGUCUAUAAUUAGUCUUAAUUACAGAUGUUAUGUUAGGAAAAGAAUCUGUACGGUUGUAAUGCUAUGGUUAUAUAUAUGUAUCAUUGCUAUAGAUGAAAGACAGAUUAAAUAAAACAUAAAAUAUUCUUUCCAAGAAAUUCAAAAAUAUUGUUUUGGUGAUUCCCACAAAUUAUAUUGUAAAUUAAAUAAUUAUUCUCUUAUUUGUAUUUUGUUCCGAUAAGCUAUUAAAGGAAAUAUAAAACCCACACAAAGCUGGAAACACAAGUUUUCUUUCUAAGGAAGAAUCGUUUAAUGGUUAAAAUUUAUGUUAUGGUUUAUAUUGAAGCUCACUUAGACAACCACUGGAGCUUACACGUGACAGAUUAGUAUUUUGAGAAUAUAAGGUCUCCAUAAUUCGAAGAUAUUAAAAGUAUUAUUCAGUGAUACCCAUGUUUUAUUAUGAUGAUUAUUAUGUCCAUUGAUAAUUUUAAUGUUUCUAGAAAUGGUUAAAGGAACAACAUCUAACAAGCAAGGAGCAAUGUGUAUGAAGUUGACAUAUGAAGUUUCCUUAUUGGCCAUCUAACAUGAAAGAGAUGAAGUUGAAAAGAGAUACUUGCAUUGAUGAAUAUUGAAGCCAUUUCAAGAUGCUAAUAACUAAGAUUUCAAAGAGAAAGACGUUUACAAACAAGUGAUACAACACAUUAAAAGACUCAUAUAUAAACUUUCCUAUUUGAGUGUCUAAUACAAAGAAGACAAUGAACAAUGCUGAAAAGAGAAAGAUUCAUGUCCAAAAUUGCAAAAGCCUUAAAGUUCAAGUUUAUACAGAUAAAGAUAAAGAAAUAAUUUGAAAGGACAAGUAUAUGUUAAAGACACCAAAUUACAACAAAGGUAAUGUUUUUGAAGAAGAACAAUAUGGCAUAUUUCUACGGUUGAUCAAGUUAAGAAGAUUAAAGCUAAAACGUUCACAUUUAAAGAAUAUAAAAUAAGAUUUUGAAAUACUCACACGUUCAAGGUGCGGAAGAAUCAAUCAGAGCAACAGCUUCUAUUUUGACUAUGUGAAGAGUGGACAUUACAAAGCUUCAACGAUCACAUUUCAGAAGACUAUAUAUAUAAAACCUUGAAGAUGAAGAAUACAACAAAAACGUGUACAUAAAUACUUUUUAGGGUUGAUUGUAGAUAGAUUUAGUCUUUUAAUGUGUCACUUACUUAGAAUGGAAACACUUACAUUUUUACCUGCUCUCCAGGAACAUCAGUUGGUCUCAUAGUUAUUAAAAACAUUUAUCUAAUUAUACAUUUAUCUAAUUAUAAAAAAUAUAUUUUAUAAAAAUAAUAAAUUAGUCUAAAAACAUUUAUCUAAUUAUACAUUUAUCUCUAGAGUAAAAAAUACAGAAAAUAAUAUAUUUUAUAAUUUUUGAGUUACAAUUGAUUAUUUUUUGGACAUUGUUCAUCCAAGUAUACUAUUUUUUAUACAAUUUAUAUAGUACGUUGAAUAUUAAAACUCGAAAUUAUUUUACUAAAAUCACACGUCCUUAAUCACCUUUGUCUUCAAAUAUUAUUAACGUCAUUUAAAAUCUUAAAACGUUCUAAUAUAAUAACAAUAAAUAUAAUAUUAAUUGAAUAUACAGUAUAGUCAAAUCAUUAAAUAUAAAUAUUAAAACAUAAAUUAUUAUAUAUUAUUAUCAAUUAAUCAUCAUUAAUAAAUAUUAUCAGUGUAUGUUUAAGGUAUAUGUGCUUUGAAUAUGUUCUAUAAACAAGUUAUUUAUAUUCUAAACGAAUUAAAGCAGUUAUUUUUAAAUUUAAAUAUUUUUGUUACCCGAAUAGAUUUUUUUUUUUUUAAAAACAAUUACAUUUUAUUCAAAUUUAUUAUAUAUUUUUUUUUAUCAUAAUUAUUGUAUAUUAUUAUAAAAUUGACGUUUGAAAAUUAUUACAAAUUACAUUUACCAAAUAUAGAAUGCAUCCAAAUAAUUAGAGAUAAUAUUUUUUAUCCAUAAAAUUGAACAUCUGAGUGAGGGGUAUAUUGAAUUGAGCUAGAUCCUCCUUAUAACAUACUGAUAAUAAUUUAAGUGAAAAUUGGUAAAAUUGAGUAUUGAAUAUGUGAAGUAUAUAUAAUCACUUCUUCCUUUAAACAAGCUCUCAUAUAUUAAAUUUAUUAUUGUACUUAAACAAGUUAUGAAAAAUACCUUUAUAUAAUAUAAUUAUAAAAAUAAAAAAAUAAUCAUUUUAAACAAAUUAUGAAAAAUAUCUUUAUAUUUCAAAAACAAAACUGAAACAUAUUUAUAUAUAUAAUUCAUAAUUAUAUAAUAUAUAAAUUUAUGUUAUUUUCUACAAUUUAAAGAUUAUACUAUCUCGGUUCGUCUCGUAUAUCUGGUUUUACCCUUUACAAUAAUAAAAAAAAUAGAUUAAUAAUUAUUGAUUUUAGAAAGAAAAUUUGGAUUUUAAAAGUAUUGAAUUUGAAAACAUAUAAAGAAUCCAAAUUCUUACAAUUUUACCUUUUACGUAACUACUUUUUCUCAAAUUCAAAUAUUAUUUUUAAUAAAAACAACUACCUACACAAUAAAAACAUUACAGAGACAACAAAAUUAAAAACACAUUAUUUAUUAUUAUAAUUACUUUUAGUAAAAAUAUUUUUUAUAAUUUAAUAAUAUAUUUUGAUUUCAAUAGUGAUUAUAACAACAUGUAUUUAAGAUUAUUCAUGUUUUAAUAAAAAAUAAUUAAUUAAUUAAUUUAAAAAAUAUAUUUUUAUAAUUUACUUUUAUUUCAAAACUAUUAAGUAUUUAAUCUAUUAGAAAUAACGGUUAUAUAUAUAUAAUAGAAAUUUUUACCUUUUAAUAUCUAUAAUUCAUUCUUUAAACAAAAAACAUGUUAUAAUUUAAUAAAUAAAUUCAUUAUCACAAAAUUUAUUUUUAAGUAUAAAUUGUAGAUAAGCUUAAAUAAAUCCAUGAACACUAAAUAAUUUAUUAUUACAAUAUUAUAAGAUUUUCAAACUUUAAAUUAGCAGUUUAUAUAUAUCAAAAUUUGUAAUGGCAUUUGAAAAGUUAUGUAACACCCCGAAAAUACAUCUAACUAUUUAAAAUGUUAUCCUUACAAAAUUAGAGUUUUUCAAAACAUUCCUAAUACAUGAUUAUGACAUAUAGAAAUAUAAAUAUUUACCAUAUAAGUUUCAAAUCAACACCCUAAAACUCUUAAGACCCUCCUACACCCUGUAAUAUAUCAUCUGCUCAUGUACGUAGUACAGUCAUCGCAGUUCAAACACAGCAAGAGUAAGCUAGUGAAAAGAAAUUUCAUAUCUUAUCUAUUUUUUUUUUGUAAAAAGAAUCAAUCAAACGAAUCAUUUAUAAACAUUUCUUUAAAUGUUGUCAUAUAAAAUUUCAAUAUCAAUUUCAUCAUUCAUAUAGACCACACAUGGAUCUAUUUUCAAUCACAAUCAUUGGAUUUCAUUUCAAUCCCACUUCAUCUUCCGGAAGACUCAUUAAGUAUGCCCCUAACACCUAAUCCAAAGAUUACCAACACAUCUAAUAGAAAGGAUCAGGGUAAGUUCAAACAUCCAAUACCGAGUGUCUACAGCAGGACCCGGCCGGUGUGUAUGAACUCCCUCUUAGGUUCUCACCACCACCUGAUAUCUUAGUCUAUAUGACUUACAUCAUCAGUGAAGCCAGAUGAUCUCUGUUAAACAUAGACUUUUCAUACUUAAUGUACCAUCAAACAACAACUCAUACAUUAUCCCAAACGUAUGACAUCAAUUUCAUACAAUUCACAUCAUUCAUAUAUAAAACAUAUCAUUCAAUCACAUAACAUUUAAAAUAUAAUUCAAGAACGUUUCCAAUAUCAAAAACAAUAUUUAACUCUCAAACUAUCAGAAUAUAAUAUUUAUAAAUUUUAAAUAAUAUCUAAACAAACACACAAUAUAUAAACAAACACACAAUAUAUAAACAAACAACAUCCAUGGAAGAGAAAUUGAAUACUGGGAUCAUGUCCCCUCAAUAUUCAGAUCUCCUAGCCUAGGGUAUUAUUGAGAGUUAAAGUUAGUUUCCCUUACCUUAAAAGGGCUUGCUUUCCAAACAACUUUUAGAAUAAAAAAAAGGUAAAGAGGAAAAUGAUGGGACAGGGGCUGUUGGUUUUUAUUUACGAGGGUUACAAUUUACAUUGCAUAUUAAUUCAAUAAAAUUACAAUUAUUAUAAACUUAUAAUAAUAAUAUAUCUAUAAUAAAGAAAACACAACAAAUUUAUAAAAAUAUUUAAAAAAUUGCCAACACAGUCAGGAUAAGACAUGUUUUUCUACUAGUAUUUUAUAAAUUAAAUGACAUUUAAUAUUUACAAAAUAUUUUAAUACUAUUUUUAAAAAUGAUACAUAGUCAAAAUAUUACAUUUAUUAUAGGUCUUGUUGGACCUAGACCAUUAAGAAAAGCGUUAUCAUGAAAUAUAAAUAGCAUUUAUUAAGUAACCUAUAACCGUUAGUAACUUAUAAUCGAUUUAUGGUCUAACUUAUGUGUUUUAAAUAUAAUAUUAAAUGGACAAUUAAUUUAUGUGCCUUAAAUAUUAUAUUAAAUAAGCGGUUAUUGAUUUGAAUGUACCCGGUCAUAAUUAGGGGUAUGUACAAUAUUAAUAAUUAGUAUUAGUAUAUUUCUUAUUAAAAUAUAUUUAUUAACUAAAUAUUUUUAAAGAGUAAGAAAAUAUUACAAAUUUUUUUCUAUAAAUUCAUGUUUAGCUUUCUUGAAAUACCACAAAAGAGAUUUAACAUUUCUUUUACAAAUUUUAUAUCCUUAGAAAAAAAUUAGAGAAGAGUGAUGGAAAAAAUUGAGAUAAAAGUUAUUGGAGUUAUAAUCAUGGUCAUGAGUCUAUUGAGUUUUACACAAGCUGAAUUAUAUGGUAAAACGGAUGGACUUUUAUGCAAAGUGAAGUGUGCAUUCAAAUGUGAACCUCAACUAGCAUUUCCUGGAUUAUAUUCAAAAUGCGUUGAAGAUUGUCGAUCACAUUGUAGUAAAUUAAACUCUGAUCCUAUUUAUAAUUGUGCUGGUAAUUGUCAAUUAAUAAAGUUCAUUGCCAACAAUAUCGGUACGUACUAUUGCUUUAUAAUUUUUCUAUAUUUGAUUUCAUUAAUUCUUUUUUCAUGAUUUUUUUAUAAUUAACGUGACUUGUGUAUAAGAUUUUGACCAUUUACUUUACCUACUUUUCAGGUGCUUAUGAGCUUGUGCAAAACGUGAAUAAUAAUUGCAUGCAAGAGUGUGUAAAGAAAUUAUAAUUUAUACGAAUUUUUGAGUGAAAAUUGUUAAAGGAAGUAAUAUUCUUACACAAUUAUGAGAAAUAAUCUUGAUCAAUAAAGAGUAUUUGUUAUCUAUUUAAAAAAAAAAUACCAACUAUAUGUCCCUUCGUUGUUUUUUUUUUUUCUUAUCUUCCUUUCUAUUGUUAAAAUUCUAUUAAGAAAGACAAUUAUAAAUAUUCUUAAAAGAAAGUCAUAUAUAAAUAUUAUGUGAGUUUGGGAUUAAGACGGUAUAAUAUGAAUAUGAAUAUAUUUGAAUGUAUAAAAUUAGAAUAACUAUAAAAAAUAAUUAAUUAAUUUAUUCUUUUCAAAUAAAAUAAAUAAAUAAACAUAACAUGUGACAACCUAUUCUUUUCAAUGACUAUAUUUUAUAAAAAAACAAAUUAAAUUUAAGAUAUUUAAUGAUAAUAUAAGAAUAUGCUAAAUUAAUAAUUAAGAAAUGAUAAAUGAGAAAGUUAUUUUGUAAUAAUAAAUGUAUUUUGACAACAUAGUAACAUAUCACAAUAAAUAAAGAAGAAUAUUCGCGUGUCAUUAGUUAUAUUUGUUUUCAUUAAAAGAGAAUAACGGCUUUUUGUUUUCGAUUAUAUACAUAACUAUCUAAAAUAUAUAAAAAGGUUGCUAAUAAUAAAAAUAUGCUACUAGAUAUUAUUGUAGAAAUUUCCUAAAAACUUUUGAUAUAAAAAUGAUACUUAUAUAAAUAAAAUAAACUAAUACAAAAUAUGUACAAAAUAAAGGAAAAAGUGGAUUAAAUUAUUUUAAUAAUUAGUAACAAUUGUACUUAUUUUACAUCUGCUCACUAAAUUCCUAACAAAUAAUUAAUUAAUUGAUUGAACAAUUACCUGCAUGAAAAUAGUUUAAAAAAUCUUCAAGUGUUUUAGUUAUAAUUUGUUUUGUAGAUAACUUGAGAGAGUGAAACGUCACAUUUUUGUAUAUUUUUCAAUGUUAUGAAGUGGUUUCCCUUGAGAAAUUCCAUAUUAAUGUGAAUCUUAUAAUUGAUUUUGAUUAAUAAAACCCUUUAGCAUUUAUAAUAAUUGAUUUUGAAUAAUGAAACUCUUUAGAAUUUAUAGAAAAGAAAUAGAGAUAAUUAAGUUUGGGGUGAGAGUAUAAAUUAUGUGUUAUUAUGGUUUGUUAUAACAAUUGUAAGAAUUUGGAUUCUUUAUCUGUUUUCAAAUUCAAUAUUUUUUAAAUACAAAUUUUCAUUUUAAAAUCAAUAAUUAUUAAACUGUUUUAUUUUAAUAUUAUAAAGGAUAAACAAGUAUGCUAAACCUGAUAUAAUUUAAAAUAUAGUAUUAUAACAAAAAAAUUAUACAUAAAAAAUAAAUAUACCGUAUAGUCAAAUCACUAAUAUAAAUAUUAAACCAUAAAUUAUUAUAUGUUAUUAUCAAUUUAUCAUCCUUAAUAAAUAUUAUCACUACAUAUUUAAAGUAUAGGCUUCGAAUAUGUUCUAAUAACCCGUUAUUUAUAUUUAAAAUAAUAAAGAAGUUAUUUCAAAUAAAUAUUUUUAUUAUAUUAUUAUAUAUACAAUAUGAAGCUUUUAUUGUAUAAUAGUUACAUUUGAUUGAAAUUAAUAAAUGUAUUAUGUUUAGAAAAUACAAAAUUAAUGUAUAUUAUGAUAAAUUUGACGGUUGAAAACUAUUAAGCAUUACAUUUACCAAAUAUAGUAUACAUCCAGAUAAAUAGAGAUAAAUUAUGUAUAUAUCAUUAAAUCAGCUUUAAUAUUUACAAACUAUUUACUCAAAAUGUUACAUUCGUUACAUAUAUUAAUAUUAAUUAUAGAAGAAAAUAGUAAAUAAAUUAUUAAUAUACAUUAUAUUAAUAUUUUUUCUUAGUAAAGUAUAUUUGACUAAUUGAAUAUUUUCAAAGAGUAAGAAAAUAUUACAUUAUUUUCUCUAUAAAUUCAUGUUUAGCUUUCUUGAAUUACCACCAGAGAGAUCUAACAUUUUAUACAAAUUUUAGAUCAUUAGAAAAAAUUUAGAGAAGAGUGAUGGGGAAAUUUGAAAUAAAAAUUCUUGGAGUUAUAAUCAUGGUCAUGUUUCUAUUAAGUUUUACACAAGCCGAAUUAGAUAGCAAAAUUGAUGGAGUUUUAUGCAAAGUCAAGUGUGCAUUCAAAUGUGAACCUCAACAACUAUUUCCUAAAUUAUAUUCAAAAUGUAUGGAAGAUUGUCAAUCACAUUGCAGUCAAUUAUCCUCUGAUCCUAUUUCUAAUUGUAUUACUAGUUGUCGCUUAAUGAAGUCCAUUGCCAUCAACAUCG